ACCUGAACCUGCUUGCCAGCUGAGAUAUUAACUGAGCCUUUUCGCUGGAUGUCCCCCCAUCAGACGUCAGAAUUUCUUUAGGGUCUCCCAGGAUAGAACUCGCAGGGAUGAGUCCUCUUCUUGGCCCCUGCAACAAUUUGGUGCUGUGACUUGGAUCCUGGGAACAUCGCCGGGGGACUGGCUGGAGGGUCCGGAACAGAGUAACGGCAGCACACCACUGAGAGAGCAGGCAGAACAGGUCCAGAGUGUUAACGGUACUGCUACGUCAAGAAAGAGACCAGUGAAGAGGGAGGAGGCCACAAGGAUUUACAAGACUGCUUUAGUCAGCACUUGGAUGGAUUAAACCAACAGCCUCUCGUGGCAGAGACUGCUUCCGUUUUUUGGCCUUUUCCUUGUCUGUGAUGACUAGCAUUUACAGAUACUGGCUGCAACGCACCGUGAACUUCACAUUAUCUUUGUUCUUCUUGAUCUUGACAGAUUUUGCAUCCUUCCUCCUAGCUGUCAGCAGAAAAUAUUUGAUCUCUUCAAUUUUGUGAGGCAUGGCGAUGGCUUCUGGCGACAACUGCCAGCUCCCCAAAACUAGCUAUGUCACAGAUGGCACCAGAUCUCAAACUGCCUCUUACCAGGAUACCUUUAUUUUUAUUCAUCUACAUGAUUGGACCAAUGAAAUAUGUAAUUUAU
Rhineura floridana is the source of this 681-nucleotide long non-coding RNA. RefSeq lists it as uncharacterized. The transcript has 3 exons. NCBI's taxonomy places the organism in Eukaryota, Metazoa, Chordata, Lepidosauria, Squamata, Rhineuridae. The record is from RefSeq and is a predicted model, not a curated record.